CCUACGGGGGGCUGCAGUAGGGAAUAUUGCGCAAUGGGGGAAACCCUGACGCAGCGACGCCGCGUGAGUGACGAAGGCCUUAGGGUCGUAAAGCUCUGUUGCACGGGAAGAAAAAAAUGACGGUACCGUGCGAGAAAGGAUCGGCUAACUUCGUGCCAGCAGCCGCGGUAAGACGAGGGAUCCUAGCGUUGUUCGGAAUCAUUGGGCGUAAAGCGUAUGUAGGCGGCCUUAUAAGUCAGGUGUGAAAGCCCCGGGCUCAACCCGGGAAGUGCAUCUGAUACUGUUUGGCUUGAGUACUGGAGAGGAUAGUGGAAUUCCUGGUGUAGUGGUGAAAUACGUAGAUAUCAGGAGGAACACCGGUGGCGAAGGCGGCUAUCUGGCCAUGUACUGACGCUGAGAUACGAAAGCGUGGGGAGCAAACAGGAUUAGAUACCCUAGUAGUC
RNAcentral lists this ribosomal RNA (443 nucleotides) under uncultured bacterium. Its description in RNAcentral is "partial 16S ribosomal RNA". It matches the Rfam family "Bacterial small subunit ribosomal RNA", at positions 338 to 795 of the family's 1533-position model. The record is from RNAcentral.